UACGGAGGGUGCAAGCGUUAUCCGGAUUCACUGGGUUUAAAGGGAGCGUAGGUGGGGUGGUAAGUCAGUGGUGAAAUCUCCGGGCUUAACUUGGAAACUGCCGUUGAUACUAUCAUUCUUGAAUAUCGUGGAGGUAAGCGGAAUAUGUCAUGUAGCGGUGAAAUGCUUAGAUAUGACAUAGAACACCGAUUGCGAAGGCAGCUUGCUACACGAUCAUUGACACUGAGGCACGAAAGCGUGGGGAUCAAACAGG
RNAcentral lists this ribosomal RNA (253 nucleotides) under uncultured bacterium. RNAcentral describes it as "partial 16S ribosomal RNA". It matches the Rfam family "Bacterial small subunit ribosomal RNA", at positions 524 to 776 of the family's 1533-position model. The record is from RNAcentral.